RNAcentral lists this ribosomal RNA (468 nucleotides) under uncultured bacterium. RNAcentral describes it as "partial 16S ribosomal RNA". It matches the Rfam family "Bacterial small subunit ribosomal RNA", at positions 28 to 507 of the family's 1533-position model. The record is from RNAcentral.
GACGAACGCUGGCGGCGUGCUUAACACGUGCAAGUCGAACGGAAAGGCCCUGCCUUUGUGGGGUGCUCGAGUGGCGAACGGGUGAGUAACACGUGAGUAACCUGUCCCUGACUUUGGGAUAACUUCAGGAAACUGGGGCUAAUACCGGAUAGGAGCUCCUGCUGCAUGGUGGGGGUUGGAAAGUUUCGGCGGUUGGGGAUGGACUCGCGGCUUAUCAGCUUGUUGGUGGGGUAGUGGCUCACCAAGGCUUUGACGGGUAGCCGGCCUGAGCGGGUGACCGGCCACACUGGGACUGAGAUGCGGCACAGACUCCUACGGGACGCAGCGGUGCAGAAUAUUGCACUAUAGGCGGGGGCCUGAUGCAGCAAAGCCGCGUGCGGGAUGACGGGAUUCGGGUUGUAAACCACUUUCGCCUGUGACGAAGCGUGAGUGACGGUAAUGGGUGAAGAAGCACCGGCUAACUACGUG